Patella vulgata (common limpet) is the source of this 2135-nucleotide RNA transcript. It is a transcript of the gene named centrosomal AT-AC splicing factor, with no coding region annotated. The record is from RefSeq and is a predicted model, not a curated record. NCBI's taxonomy places the organism in Eukaryota, Metazoa, Mollusca, Gastropoda, Patellidae. The transcript has 9 exons.
GCACUAUCCUUAGAGGAUUGUUUUCAAUCUACUCAAUAUUAUUAUUAUCUGUCUGUAAUUCUAGAUGUGUUUGUAAGAAGUUAAAAAAUGACGAUCUCAUUCUCUAGUUUAGAUCACCCAUAAUAAAAUUCACACAUCUUAAUGACUGAACCAUAUAUAACAGAAAUUUUGGGGGAUAAAUAUAUAUUUUCAGAUUAACAACAGUUUUCAAAAGGACUCUUUUUUUGGGGGAGUCUAAAAGUAUACACCUGCUGUUCAACAUGGCUGACAACGAAAAGAAAUCAACUUCAUUCAUACAAUUUAAGUAUUGUGGUCUUUGCAAAAUUAGUCAUAAACAUAAGAAUAAGAAACACGUGUAUUCAUCAAGACACCAAGAAAUUAUUAAAGGCAUACUUCUGAAAUUGAAGAAACGGAUUGAUGAGGCCAAAGCAUUUCUUAAAAAUCCUCAAGUAAUGAAUUUAGGAUGGGAAAAAGAAGCCAGUGUAUGGUGUUAUUUUUGUGGCAAGUCUAUAAAUAAACAUACUUCUCACGAUGAAUAUAUCGUAACCUGUGGUCAGUUCUUACAACAUUUGACAUUACAAGAACAUGUUCAAAAGAUGAAUGAUUUCUUCUGGGAAAAUAUCAUUGAUAAAAAAAAAAAGUCUCACUAUGUCAUUACUGACAAGGAAUUGAAAAAAUUUCAGCAGAAGCUAGAAGAAGCUGUGGACAAGUUUAAAAUAGAACAGAAGAGUCACUUAUUAAAGGUUGCUGAGAAAUUGAAGCAAAAAGAAUUACGACAAAAUUAUUUAUCUCAUCAGUACCAGACACAAUACCAAUAUGAUAAGGUGUGUGCUGGUUGACCAAAUACCAAUAAGACAAAUAAAUCCACAGACUUCUGCCUCUGAUGAUGAUAAUAGAGAUGUGGAAAGGCUCAUCAAUGCACCCAGAACCAACAGUUUUGGUUUGACAAUUAUUCAACGUCCAAAGGGAAAUAAAGAAAAGGGAAAUAUAUUUACCGGUGCUGCUCCCCCUUGGUUACAACAUUCUACAGAUGAUAUAAAUAGGCAAGACAUAGGUCCUACAUUAUCAGAUUAUGAAAAACAUUUGAAAUUGGAGAAGAAGAAAAAAUUACCAGAAAACCGAGUGGGAGCUAAUUUUAAUCGUCAUUCUGUGGCAUCUGCAUCAUGGCUGCCAUCAUUUGGUGGUGUUUGGAGUCAUCAAAGGCGUUUAAAUAAUAAGAAUCAAUUUCAGAGAAAAAUGAAUUAUGGAAGUGAUAAAAUAUUGGACAGUAUUGAAACAAUCGAUCCGCAAAAAAUUAAACCAUAUGUUCGAAAAAGAUCAGCAACAGUAACUAGCGGAAUAGACUCGUCUUUAUCAUUAACAACAACUUCAUUUAAUGAGACAUUAACUAACACUGUCAAUGAUACGGUGCCAAAUAAUUCACAACCUAAUUCAACUUUUACAAGUGUCAAGAGAUCUAGUGAAAUACCUCAGACAAUUAUACCAUACAAAAGGACAAAGAAGGAUACUGAAUCAAAAUUAAUAGAUCAAUAUGAGUGCCAUCCAGUGUCCAGUCCAACAACAAAGGGAAAUAACUCUGUUAUAACACUCCCUUUGGCAUGUGUAGAAAAAACAAACUUUCUUCCAAAUUAUAGUUUACCGGUGCAUCCAAAAAUAUCAAAAUCAUCUCAAUAUAAUCCGUACAAUAUCAAAUUACCAUUUACAUAGUAAAUUCUACCGUUUUCUACACCUUGUGUUAAAAAUUCCAUUUCGUUUCUAGUUCAAUUACUUUUAAAUGUUACAAAUUAAUUUAAACAUAAUUUUUUGACACUAUCUAAAGGAUCAGAUGCACGUAUCACAACCAUAGGGUAGCCUUUUUCUUGUUACUUGUGCUCUCACUGGAAGGAUUAAAUUUUCAUCAUUCUUUGAAUACAUAGUUUGAAAUUGAUAUGGAUAUAGAUAAUCUCCUUUACAAACAGAUGUGCUUAUAAAUGCCUAUAAAUAAUAAUAAUGUGCCAAAUUUGAAAUCAUUUCCCAUAUUUAUAUUGUAGAGGUUAUAUUUGAUUCCGGCAUACUUUGUGUGUGUUUGUGAAAUGAAACUUGAAAAGUGGGUCUUCGGAAAUACCUUUUAUACAAAUAAAAUAAAUGCUUUUAUU